UAGAUUUUAAGUUAAAAAAACUAAGGGUCUUCCAAACCCUAAAUAAGGUAACCCUUAAAUCUAG
Molecule: transfer RNA, 64 nt
Filed under: Gondogeneia antarctica
Lineage: Eukaryota; Metazoa; Arthropoda; Malacostraca; Amphipoda; Pontogeneiidae
Description: tRNA-Gly
Source: RNAcentral